Molecule: ribosomal RNA, 492 nt
Filed under: uncultured bacterium
Lineage: Bacteria
Description: partial 16S ribosomal RNA
Rfam family: Bacterial small subunit ribosomal RNA
Source: RNAcentral
GGGGGGGGGGGGGGGGGGGGCUGGGGGGGGGGAGGGGAGCGGCGGCGCAGGAAGAGGGUGCUCUUACGGGGGGCGGGUGGCGGGCGGGUGGGGGAUACAGAGGCAUCUACUUUUUCGUGGUGGGUAACGUAAGGCAACUUACGCUAAUACCGCAUACUACCUACGGGUUGAAUCAGGGGAUCUUCGGACCUUGCGCGAUAGAAUGAGCCGAUGCCUGAUUAGCUCGUUGGCGGGGUAAAUGCCCACCAAGGCGACGAUCCGUAGCUGGUCUGAGAUGAUGGUCAGCCACACUGGCACUGAGACACGGUCCAGACUCCUACGGGAGGCAGCAGUGGGGAAUAUUGGACAAUGGGCGCAAGCCUGAUCCAGCCAUACCGCGUGGGUGAAGAAGGCCUUCGGGUUGUAAAGCCCUUUUGUUGGGAAAGAAAAGCAGCAGGUUAAUACCCCGCUGUUCUGACGGUACCCAAAGAAUAAGCACCGGCUAACUUCGUG